CGCUGGUGCAAGAUAUCGGACCUGAUAUAAAUAUGUUCUUAGAGACGUUCGUGAAUUAUGUUUGUCUCGCUUAUAGCAACGUCACGAGUAAACACGAUGCGUCAGUGUCGGCUGGUGAACUAUUUCCGACGGCACUGUCUUUCUGCGCGCGGCUCGUCUUCCGCUGAUAAAGAUGAGCCCUGGAGCCCGAGCCCUGGAUGUCCCCAUCGUGGGGAAACAGAAACGGAGGAGCACGUUAUUAUGGACUGCCCAGCCACAUCGGAUGCAAGACGCAGGCAGCCCACCGGCACAUCCGAACCCUAACUCCAGGACAUUAUCUAUCCUCGUGGCAACCUCCAUCAUCGGAAGCUUGUCCAAAGAGCUCUUCUGAACUUUUUCAAGGUUCGUCGACCCACAAGGACGGCUACCGGAACACACGCUGCUUGCCAGCAAAUAAUCUAACGGUCUUCCCCUCCCUUUUCCCUCUCCCACGAGCAAGGUGCCGCCAGCCUAGGCAGGCAGACCGCUCGUCUACCCAACGUUACCCCCCCCCCCCCUUACAAUGAGACUGUAUGUACCCCCGUGACGUUUACAGACGGCAAGUUUUGUUUUAUAUAAACGUCUUGUGGCGUGAUAAAUUCGAAAUUUCGUUAACGCAAUGCUUUCAAAAUGGUCUGAUGGACCUUUACGUUCGCCUUGAAAAUAUCCCUCUAUGAAUAACGAAGGUAAUAAAAGGUAACUUUCUUUUCGGACA
Ornithodoros turicata is the source of this 733-nucleotide long non-coding RNA. RefSeq lists it as uncharacterized. The transcript has 2 exons. Lineage: Eukaryota; Metazoa; Arthropoda; Arachnida; Ixodida; Argasidae. The record is from RefSeq and is a predicted model, not a curated record.